This 30-nucleotide non-coding RNA is filed under the name Homo sapiens (human). The record is from RNAcentral. Lineage: Eukaryota; Metazoa; Chordata; Mammalia; Primates; Hominidae.
UUAUAAAGUGUUAGGACAGCUCAGAGGAGG